AAUGGGCGAAAGCCUGAUGCAGCGACGCCGCGUGAGGGAUGACGGCCUUCGGGUUGUAAACCUCUUUCAGCAGGGACGAAGCGCAAGUGACGGUACCUGCAGAAGAAGCACCGGCUAACUACGUGCCAGCAGCCGCGGUAAUACGUAGGGUGCAAGCGUUGUCCGGAAUUACUGGGCGUAAAGAGUUCGUAGGCGGUUUGUCGCGUCGUUUGUGAAAACCAGCAGCUCAACUGCUGGCUUGCAGGCGAUACGGGCAGACUUGAGUACUGCAGGGGAGACUGGAAUUCCUGGUGUAGCGGUGAAAUGCGCAGAUAUCAGGAGGAACACCGGUGGCGAAGGCGGGUCUCUGGGCAGUAACUGACGCUGAGGAACGAAAGCGUGGGUAGCGAA
RNAcentral lists this ribosomal RNA (390 nucleotides) under uncultured bacterium. RNAcentral describes it as "bacterial SSU rRNA". It matches the Rfam family "Bacterial small subunit ribosomal RNA", at positions 370 to 772 of the family's 1533-position model. The record is from RNAcentral.